UACGUAGGCAGCAAGCGUUGUUCGGAGUUACUGGGCGUAAAGGGUGUGUAGGCGGUUCUCUAAGUUUGGUGUGAAAUCUCCCGGCUCAACCGGGAGGGUGCGCCGAAAACUGGGGAGCUAGAGUGCGGGAUGGGUAAGUGGAAUUCUUGGUGUAGCGGUGAAAUGCGUAGAUAUCAGGAGGAACACCUGUGGUGUAGACGGCUUACUGGACCGCAACUGACGCUGAGACACGAAAGCGUGGGUAGCAAACAGG
This 253-nucleotide ribosomal RNA is filed under the name uncultured bacterium. Its description in RNAcentral is "partial 16S ribosomal RNA". It matches the Rfam family "Bacterial small subunit ribosomal RNA", at positions 524 to 776 of the family's 1533-position model. The record is from RNAcentral.